ACAUCCAGCGAACUUGGCAGAGAUGCCUUGGUGCCUUCGGGAACGCUGAGACAGGUGCUGCAUGGCUGUCGUCAGCUCGUGUUGUGAAAUGUUGGGUUAAGUCCCGNAACGAGCGCAACCCUUAUCCUUUGUUGUCAGCGAUUCGGUCGGGAACUCAAAGGAGACUGCCGGUGAUAAACCGGAGGAAGGUGGGGAUGACGUCAAGUCAUCAUGGCCCUUACGAGUAGGGCUACACACGUGCUACAAUGGCGCAUACAAAGAGAAGCGACCUCGCGAGAGCAAGCGGACCUCAUAAAGUGCGUCGUAGUCCGGAUCGGAGUCUGCAACUCGACUCCGUGAAGUCGGAAUCGCUAGUAAUCGUGGAUCAGAAUGCCACGGUGAAUACGUUCCCGGUCCUUGUACACACCGCCCGUCACACCAUGGGAGUGGGUUGCAAAAGAAGUAGGUAGCUUAACCUUCGGGAGGGCGCUUACCACUUUGUGAUUCAUGACUGGGGUGAAGUCGUAACAAGGUAGGCGUAGCGAG
This 525-nucleotide ribosomal RNA is filed under the name uncultured bacterium. RNAcentral's name for it is "bacterial SSU rRNA". It matches the Rfam family "Bacterial small subunit ribosomal RNA", at positions 984 to 1509 of the family's 1533-position model. The record is from RNAcentral.